This 72-nucleotide transfer RNA is filed under the name Bacillus phage vB_BanS-Thrax3. RNAcentral's name for it is "tRNA-Thr". It matches the Rfam family "tRNA". From Rfam's summary of the family: Transfer RNA (tRNA) molecules are approximately 80 nucleotides in length. Their secondary structure includes four short double-helical elements and three loops (D, anti-codon, and T loops). Further hydrogen bonds mediate the characteristic L-shaped molecular structure. tRNAs have two regions of fundamental functional importance: the anti-codon, which is responsible for specific mRNA codon recognition, and the 3' end, to which the tRNAs corresponding amino acid is attached (by aminoacyl-tRNA synthetases). tRNAs cope with the degeneracy of the genetic code in two manners: having more than one tRNA (with a specific anti-codon) for a particular amino acid; and 'wobble' base-pairing, i.e. permitting non-standard base-pairing at the 3rd anti-codon position. Lineage: Duplodnaviria; Heunggongvirae; Uroviricota; Caudoviricetes. The record is from RNAcentral.
GCAGGAUUAGUUAAGGGGUUAUAACAGUCGCCUUGUAAGCGACAAUCAGCAGUUCGAUUCUGCUAUCCUGCU